GCUAGGGGCGCUUUAUGCUGAGAUGGAGGCUUUUGCCUCGGUCCCUCAUGACCUGAACAGGAUAAUGCCUGCGUAGGGAAGCUUAU
Molecule: non-coding RNA, 86 nt
Filed under: chicken gut metagenome
Description: TPP riboswitch (THI element)
Rfam family: TPP riboswitch aptamer (THI element)
About the family: Vitamin B(1) in its active form thiamin pyrophosphate (TPP) is an essential coenzyme that is synthesised by coupling of pyrimidine and thiazole moieties in bacteria. The previously detected thiamin-regulatory element, thi box was extended, resulting in a new, highly conserved RNA secondary structure, the THI element, which is widely distributed in eubacteria and also occurs in some archaea. Analysis of operon structures identified a large number of new candidate thiamin-regulated genes, mostly transporters, in various prokaryotic organisms.
Source: RNAcentral